This 253-nucleotide ribosomal RNA is filed under the name uncultured bacterium. Its description in RNAcentral is "partial 16S ribosomal RNA". It matches the Rfam family "Bacterial small subunit ribosomal RNA", at positions 524 to 776 of the family's 1533-position model. The record is from RNAcentral.
UACAUGUGGGGCAAGCGUUGUUCGGAAUUACUGGGCAUAAAGGGUGCGUAGGUGGUCUGGUAAGUCAGUGGUGAAAUCGUCCGGCCCAAACGGACACGUGCCAAUGAUACUGCCGGACUCGAGUGCGUGAGGGGUAGGGGGAACGAGCAGUGUAGCGGUGAAAUGCGUAGAUAUUGCUCGGAAGGCCAAAGCCGAAGGGACCCCACUGGUACGUAACUGACACUGAGGCACGAAAGCGUGGGGAGCAAACAGG